GCCUCGGUAGCUUAGUUGGUUAAAGCGCCGUACUUAUAAUGCGAAGGUCGAGAGUUCGAAACUCUCCCAGGGCA
Non-coding RNA from Paragonimus skrjabini miyazakii, 74 nucleotides. The record is from the annotation of a GenBank genome assembly. NCBI's taxonomy places the organism in Eukaryota, Metazoa, Platyhelminthes, Trematoda, Plagiorchiida, Troglotrematidae.